GUGGGGAAUUUUGGACAAUGGGCGCAAGCCUGAUCCAGCCAUGCCGCGUGCAGGAUGAAGGCCUUCGGGUUGUAAACUGCUUUUGUACGGAACGAAAAGGUGCCUUCUAAUAAAGGGCGCUCAUGACGGUACCGUAAGAAUAAGCACCGGCUGACUACGUGCCAGCAGCCGCGGUAAUACGUAGGGUGCGAGCGUUAAUCGGAAUUACUGGGCGUAAAGCGUGCGUAGGUGGUUGUUUAAGUCUGAUGUGAAAGCCCUGGGCUCAACCUGGGAAUGGCAUUGGAAACUGGGCAGCUAGAGUGCGGUAGAGGGCAGUGGAAUUCCCGGUGUAGCAGUGAAAUGCGUAGAGAUCGGGAGGAACAUCUGUGGCGAAGGCGACUGCCUGGACCAGCACUGACACUGAGGCACGAAAGCGUGGGGAGCAAACA
RNAcentral lists this ribosomal RNA (428 nucleotides) under uncultured bacterium. RNAcentral describes it as "bacterial SSU rRNA". It matches the Rfam family "Bacterial small subunit ribosomal RNA", at positions 354 to 774 of the family's 1533-position model. The record is from RNAcentral.